RNAcentral lists this ribosomal RNA (400 nucleotides) under uncultured bacterium. RNAcentral describes it as "bacterial SSU rRNA". It matches the Rfam family "Bacterial small subunit ribosomal RNA", at positions 355 to 747 of the family's 1533-position model. The record is from RNAcentral.
UGGGGAAUUUUGGACAAUGGGCGGAAGCCUGAUCCAGCCAUGCCGCGUGAGUGAAGAAGGCCUUCGGGUUGUAAAGCUCUUUCGGUGGGGAAGAAAUCGCACGGGCUAAUACCUCGUGUGGAUGACGGUACCCGCAUAAGAAGCACCGGCUAACUACGUGCCAGCAGCCGCGGUAAUACGUAGGGUGCGAGCGUUAAUCGGAAUUACUGGGCGUAAAGCGUGCGCAGGCGGUUUUAUAAGUCAGACGUGAAAUCCCCGGGCUCAACCUGGGAACUGCGUUUGAGACUGUAAGGCUAGAGGAUGGCAGAGGGGGGUAGAAUUCCACGUGUAGCAGUGAAAUGCGUAGAGAUGUGGAGGAAUACCGAUGGCGAAGGCAGCCCCCUGGGCUAUAACUGACGCU